UAAGGAAUAUUGGUCAAUGGACGCAAGUCUGAACCAGCCAUGCCGCGUGGAGGAUGAAGGUCCUCUGGAUUGUAAACUUCUUUUAUCUGGGAAGAAAUGCAUUUUUUCUAAAGUGUUUGACGGUACCAGAUGAAUAAGCACCGGCUAACUCCGUGCCAGCAGCCGCGGUAAUACGGAGGGUGCAAGCGUUAUCCGGAUUCACUGGGUUUAAAGGGUGCGUAGGUGGGCAGUUAAGUCAGUGGUGAAAUCUCCGGGCUCAACCCGGAAACUGCCAUUGAUACUAUCUGUCUUGAAUAUCGUGGAGGUAAGCGGAAUAUGUCAUGUAGCGGUGAAAUGCUUAGAUAUGACAUAGAACACCAAUUGCGAAGGCAGCUUACUACCCGAA
This 385-nucleotide ribosomal RNA is filed under the name uncultured bacterium. RNAcentral describes it as "bacterial SSU rRNA". It matches the Rfam family "Bacterial small subunit ribosomal RNA", at positions 355 to 737 of the family's 1533-position model. The record is from RNAcentral.